RNAcentral lists this ribosomal RNA (870 nucleotides) under Triticum aestivum (bread wheat). Its description in RNAcentral is "partial small subunit ribosomal RNA". Lineage: Eukaryota; Viridiplantae; Streptophyta; Magnoliopsida; Poales; Poaceae. The record is from RNAcentral.
AUGGGGUUGCUGCUGCUGCUUCACGUCGUCCUGGUCGCGGCGGCGGUGGGAGCCCCAGCGGCGCAGGCGUGGGGCAAGGAGGGCCACUACAUGACCUGCAAGAUCGCCGACGGUUUCCUGACGAAGGAGGCGUUGGCGGGGGUGAAGGCUCUCCUCCCGUCGUCGGCUAAAGGCGAGCUCGCGAAGGUGUGCUCGUGGGCAGACAACCAGCGCUUCCGGUACCGGUGGUCGAGCCCCUUGCAUUUUGCGGACACCCCCAAAGACUGCAAGUUCAGCUACGCCAGGGACUGCCACGACACCAAGGGUAACAAGGACGCGUGCGUGGUCGGGGCCAUCAACAACUACACCGCCGCGCUCCAGGACCCGUCCAGCCCAUAUGAUCGGACGGAGAGCCUGAUGUUCCUGGCCCACUUCGUGGGCGACGUGCACCAGCCGCUGCACUGCGGCCACGUGGAAGACCUCGGCGGCAACACCAUCCUCGUCCGCUGGUACAGGAGGAAGAGCAACCUGCAUCACGUGUGGGACGUGGACGUCAUCGAGCAGGCCAUGAAGGACUUCUACGGCAAAGACCNNNNNNNNNNNNNNNNNNNNNNNNNNNNNNNNNNNNNNAAGGACUGGUCCGGCGAGGAGAAGCAGUGGGAGGCGUGCCGCAGCAAAACCAAGACCACCUGCGCUGACAAGUACGCUCAGGAGAGUGCGGCGCUCGCCUGCGACGCGUACAAGGGCGUCAAGCAGGACUCCACCUUAGGAGAUGAGUACUACUCCGCGGCGCUGCCGGUCGUUGAGAAGAGGAUCGCUCAGGGCGGCGUCAGGCUGGCGGCCAUCCUCAACCGGAUCUUCAGCCGGAACGGCAGGCCGCAGAGCAUCUGA